RNAcentral lists this ribosomal RNA (253 nucleotides) under uncultured bacterium. RNAcentral describes it as "partial 16S ribosomal RNA". It matches the Rfam family "Bacterial small subunit ribosomal RNA", at positions 524 to 776 of the family's 1533-position model. The record is from RNAcentral.
UACGUAGGUGGCAAGCGUUGUCCGGAUUUACUGGGCGUAAAGAGCGCGCAGGCGGUCGUUCAAGUCGCGUGUGAAAGCCCCCGGCUCAACUGGGGAGGGUCACGCGAUACUGAUCGACUCGAAGGCAGGAGAGGGUAGUGGAAUUCCCGGUGUAGUGGUGAAAUGCGUAGAUAUCGGGAGGAACACCAGUGGCGAAAGCGGCUCUCUGGUCCAAAACUGACGCUGAGGGGCGAAAGCGUGGGGAGCGAACGGG